Molecule: transfer RNA, 73 nt
Organism: Vitrella brassicaformis
Lineage: Eukaryota; Vitrellaceae
Rfam family: tRNA
About the family: Transfer RNA (tRNA) molecules are approximately 80 nucleotides in length. Their secondary structure includes four short double-helical elements and three loops (D, anti-codon, and T loops). Further hydrogen bonds mediate the characteristic L-shaped molecular structure. tRNAs have two regions of fundamental functional importance: the anti-codon, which is responsible for specific mRNA codon recognition, and the 3' end, to which the tRNAs corresponding amino acid is attached (by aminoacyl-tRNA synthetases). tRNAs cope with the degeneracy of the genetic code in two manners: having more than one tRNA (with a specific anti-codon) for a particular amino acid; and 'wobble' base-pairing, i.e. permitting non-standard base-pairing at the 3rd anti-codon position.
Source: Rfam
GCCGAGAUAGCUCAGUUGGUAGAGCAGUGGAUUGAAGAUCCUCGAGUCACCAGUUCAAGUCUGGUUCUCGGCA